RNAcentral lists this non-coding RNA (116 nucleotides) under Phaseolus vulgaris (common bean). RNAcentral describes it as "Bacterial small subunit ribosomal RNA". It matches the Rfam family "Bacterial small subunit ribosomal RNA", at positions 755 to 869 of the family's 1533-position model. Lineage: Eukaryota; Viridiplantae; Streptophyta; Magnoliopsida; Fabales; Fabaceae. The record is from Rfam by way of RNAcentral.
GAAAGUUAGGGGAACGAAUGAGAUUAGAUGUCCCAAUAGUCCUAGUAGUAGACGAUGGAUACUAAACGUUGUGCGUAUCAACUCGUACAAUGUUGUAGCUAACGCGUUAAGUAUUC